RNAcentral lists this ribosomal RNA (384 nucleotides) under uncultured bacterium. Its description in RNAcentral is "bacterial SSU rRNA". It matches the Rfam family "Bacterial small subunit ribosomal RNA", at positions 55 to 451 of the family's 1533-position model. The record is from RNAcentral.
AUGUAGUCGCACGCACGUCCUUCGGGAUGUGAGUGGCGAACGGCUGAGGAACACGUACGAACCUGCCCGACCGUGGGGAAUAACGCGCGGAAACGUGUGCUAAUACCGCGUACGCUGGAGUGAUCCAGGAAAGCCGUAAGGCGCGGACGGAGGGGCGUGCGGCCCAUCAGGUGGUUGGCGGGGUAACGGCCCACCAAGCCGGUGACGGGUAGCUGGUCUGUGAGGAUGAUCAGCCAGACUGGGACUGAGAAACGGCCCAGACACCUACGGGUGGCAGCAGCGAGGAAUCUUCCNCAAUGGGGCGCAAGCCCCGAUGGGAGCAACGCCGCGUGGAGGACGACGGCCCUUCGGGGUUGUAAACUCCUUUUCGGGGGGGGAUGAAAC